UGGCUCAGUGAUAGAGUGCUUGCCUAGUAUGCAAGAGGCCCUGGGUUCGAUUCCUUA
This 57-nucleotide transfer RNA is filed under the name Dipodomys ordii (Ord's kangaroo rat). The record is from Rfam by way of RNAcentral. Lineage: Eukaryota; Metazoa; Chordata; Mammalia; Rodentia; Heteromyidae.